UACGUAGGGUGCUAGCGUUGUCCGGAUUUAUUGGGCGUAAAGGGCUCGUAGGCGGUCUGUCGCGUCCGUUGUGAAAACUCGAGGCUCAACCUCGGGCUUGCAGUGGAUACGGGCAGACUAGAGUGCGGUAGGGGAGACUGGAAUUCCUGGUGUAGCGGUGGAAUGCGCAGAUAUCAGGAGGAACACCGAUGGCGAAGGCAGGUCUCUGGGCCGCAACUGACGCUGAGGAGCGAAAGCAUGGGGAGCGAACAGG
Molecule: ribosomal RNA, 253 nt
Filed under: uncultured bacterium
Lineage: Bacteria
Description: partial 16S ribosomal RNA
Rfam family: Bacterial small subunit ribosomal RNA
Source: RNAcentral